AUUGAUUGUAAUUAUAAUUAUACAUGCUAGCCUCCACACACCAGUGAGUAACCCCCCCCCAGAGCCGGCAUCAGGCACACCAUCAACGGUAGCCCAAGACACCUAGCCUCGCCACACCCCCACGGGCCACAGCAGUAAUAAACACUAAGCAAUGAGCCCACUUACACUUGACUUGAUAAUAAUGUGCCUCAUAGGGCCGGUAAACCCCGUGCCAGCCACCGCGGUUAUACGAGGGGCCCAAAACAAUAUACUUCGGCGUAAAAUGUGACUAAUGGACAGUUUAAAAGUCGAAGGUGUAAGCCUAAUGAAAGUUGUAAAAUACAUAGUGCCUACGGUCAACCCACAUCCUCACUAACUAACCCACCUGACCUCACGAAAACUGAGACCCAAACUAGGAUUAGAUACCCUACUAUGCUCAGUCGUAAACUAUGGUGUACUACACCCGCCAGAGAAUUACAAGCGACCAGCUUGAAACUCAAAGGACUUGACAGUAUCUCAUACACCCCUAGAGGAGCCUGUCCUAGAAUCGAUAACCCACGAUAAACCUCACCUGCCCUUGCACCAGUCAGCCUAUAUACCUCCGUCGCCAGUCCGCCUGUCAACAGCCCCCAAAGCGCAUACAACAGCCAACCGCUCACACGACAGGUCAAGGUGUAGCUAAUGGGCCGAGCAGAGAUGGGCUACAUUUUCUUUAGCUAGAAAAUACCUAAAAUGCCAUGCAAACCGCACACGAGGUGGAUUUAGCAGUAAGGGGGGUAAGAAAAACCCACUUGAAGCUUACCAUGAGAUGUGUACACACCGCCCGUCACCCUCCUCACAAGCACAUAAACUUAACUAAGACCCUCACAUAAC
RNAcentral lists this ribosomal RNA (852 nucleotides) under Uroplatus sp. E CMI-2008. RNAcentral's name for it is "partial 12S ribosomal RNA". It matches the Rfam family "Bacterial small subunit ribosomal RNA". The record is from RNAcentral. Lineage: Eukaryota; Metazoa; Chordata; Lepidosauria; Squamata; Gekkonidae.